CAAACCCCACCUGUGUACCUUACCUGUUGCUUCCGUGCUGCGCAUGCUGCAAACGUGUGCCUUGCGGUCCGGAGUACCUAUUGCUCCUAUGGCCCGUGGGAGCCGGCACGGGAGGUAACCCACAAACUCUUGCCCUUGAAUGCCUUCCGUCUGAACUGUAAGUACAUGAAAAGUUAAAACUUUCAACAACGGAUCUCUUGGUUCUCGCAUCGAUGAAGAACGCAGCGAAAUGCGAUAAGUAGUGUGAAUUGCAGAAUUCCGUGAAUCAUCGAAUCUUUGAACGCACAUUGCGCCUCCUGGUNAUCCGUGAGGCAUGCCUGUUCGAGCGUCACUAAAAUCAAAUCAACCACCACCCAUGUGCUUGGUCAUGGAGGAAGAGUCCGUCUUGUUGCGGUCUCCCCUCCCAAAAUCAACGGCGGAAAGUCGCUGGAACUCGGCGUAGGAGUAUUAUUCGCCGAUUACCCAGUGUCGUUCCUGCCACCAAAUGCCCACGAUUCUCUUGAUUGACCUCGGAUCAGGUAGGGAUACCCGCUGAACUUAAGCAUAUCAAUAA
Molecule: ribosomal RNA, 553 nt
Filed under: uncultured Geopora
Lineage: Eukaryota; Fungi; Ascomycota; Pezizomycetes; Pezizales; Pyronemataceae
Description: eukaryotic LSU rRNA
Rfam family: 5.8S ribosomal RNA (bases 178-331)
Source: RNAcentral